Molecule: ribosomal RNA, 253 nt
Filed under: uncultured bacterium
Lineage: Bacteria
Description: partial 16S ribosomal RNA
Rfam family: Bacterial small subunit ribosomal RNA
Source: RNAcentral
UACGAAGGGGGCUAGCGUUGCUCGGAAUUACUGGGCGUAAAGCGCACGUAGGCGGAUUCUUAAGUCAGGGGUGAAAUCCCGGAGCUCAACUCCGGAACUGCCUUUGAUACUGAGAAUCUCGAGUCCGGGAGAGGUGAGUGGAACUCCGAGUGUAGAGGUGAAAUUCGUAGAUAUUCGGAAGAACACCAGUGGCGAAGGCGGCUCACUGGCCCGGUACUGACGCUGAGGUGCGAAAGCGUGGGGAGCAAACAGG